This 325-nucleotide ribosomal RNA is filed under the name uncultured eukaryote. Its description in RNAcentral is "partial 18S ribosomal RNA". It matches the Rfam family "Eukaryotic small subunit ribosomal RNA", at positions 1470 to 1796 of the family's 1831-position model. The record is from RNAcentral.
CCCUUAGAUGUUCUGGGCCGCACGCGCGCUACACUGAUGCAUUCAACGAGCCUAUCCUUGACCGACAGGUCCGGGUAAUCUUUGAAUCUGCAUCGUGACGGGGAUAGAUUAUUGCAAUUAUUAAUCUUCAACGAGGAAUGCCUAGUAGGCGCAAGUCAUCAGCUUGCGUCGAUUACGUCCCUGCCCUUUGUACACACCGCCCGUCGCUCCUACCGAUUGGGUGUGCUGGUGAAAUGUUCGGAUCGGCCGUUUGUCGCGGUUUCCGCGUCAUGUGGCUGAGAAGUUCAUUAAAUCCUCCCACCUAGAGGAAGGAGAAGUCGUAACA